Molecule: ribosomal RNA, 447 nt
Filed under: uncultured bacterium
Lineage: Bacteria
Description: bacterial SSU rRNA
Rfam family: Bacterial small subunit ribosomal RNA
Source: RNAcentral
UGGGGAAUCUUGGACAAUGGGGGAAACCCUGACCCAGCAACGCCGCGUGAAGGAUGAAGUAUUUCGGUAUGUAAACUUCGAAAGAAUAGGAAGAAUAAAUGACGGUACUAUUUAUAAGGUCCGGCUAACUACGUGCCAGCAGCCGCGGUAAUACGUAGGGACCAAGCGUUGUUCGGAUUUACUGGGCGUAAAGGGCGCGUAGGUGGCAUGACAAGUCACUUGUGAAAUCUCUGGGCUUAACCCAGAACGGUCAACUGAUACUGUCACACUAGAGUACAGAAGGGGCAAUCGGAAUUCUUGGUGUAGCGGUGAAAUGCGUAGAUAUCAAGAGGAACACCUGAGGCGAAGGCGGGUUGCUGGGCUGAUACUGACGCUGAGGCGCGAAAGCUAGGGUAGCAAACGGGAUUAGAUACCCGAGUAGUCCCUGAGCGGGCUGGCAAGGCGCAU